CCUACGGGUGACAGCAGUGAGGAAUAUUGGUCAAUGGACGAGAGUCUGAACCAGCCAAGUAGCGUGAAGGAUGACUGCCCUAUGGGUUGUAAACUUCUUUUAUAUGGGAAUAAAACGUUCCACGUGUGGGAUUUUGUAUGUAUCAUAUGAAUAAGGAUCGGCUAACUCCGUGCCAGCAGCCGCGGUAAUACGGAGGAUCCGAGCGUUAUCCGGAUUUAUUGGGUUUAAAGGGAGCGUAGGUGGAUUGUUAAGUCAGUUGUGAAAGUUUGCGGCUCAACCGUAAAAUUGCAGUUGAAACUGGCAGUCUUGAGUACAGGAGAGGUGGGCGGAAUUCGUGGUGUAGCGGUGAAAUGCUUAGAUAUCACGAAGAACUCCGAUUGCGAAGGCAGUUCACUGGACUGCAACUGACACUGAGGCUCGAAGGUGUGGGUAUCAAACAGGAUUAGAUACCCCUGUAGUC
This 460-nucleotide ribosomal RNA is filed under the name uncultured bacterium. Its description in RNAcentral is "partial 16S ribosomal RNA". It matches the Rfam family "Bacterial small subunit ribosomal RNA", at positions 338 to 795 of the family's 1533-position model. The record is from RNAcentral.